This is a long non-coding RNA of Choloepus didactylus (southern two-toed sloth), 5781 nucleotides long. RefSeq lists it as uncharacterized. Lineage: Eukaryota; Metazoa; Chordata; Mammalia; Pilosa; Megalonychidae. The record is from RefSeq and is a predicted model, not a curated record. The transcript has 4 exons.
CAACAAAUGCCAAAGUUUGCAUUUGUGACCCUCCCAGACUUCACCCUAUGCGUCUCUUCUUUUGGCUGCUUCUUAUAUCCUCCAAAACUGUGAGACAAAUUCCUGUUGUCCAAGCCCACAGAAAAUCCUCAGGACACAUAUGGGCCCUGUGUUCCCCUUGACCCUGACACUCAGCCCCUGCUGGAUGACUCGCUGCUGCAACUGCUUCAGGAGAGGUGUUGAAAACAGAAGGGCUCAUCUGCUUUUGGACUGCCCACUUCCUAAUCUGAAAUUUCCAGCAGAGAUGAGGAACAAAUAUUUUAUAACCCAGUUUAUUUAGUUGACUAUGUUUGUUAGAUGUAACAUUGUUUUCUCUAUUGUUAGAGACUUCACCUUAAAUGGGUCUUAAUUCAGGAAUGUUCUUGCCUUAUCUUUGCAUUGGCUGGUUGAUCAUAACUGAACAUGGUAUAGAAGUUCAUUACAUAGAAUAGAUUCAUACAUGUAACCACAAGGUUUAGAUCCACUUUUGUAUAGACCAUGUACCAAAAGAUUCUUUCAGUUUACUUUACUUAGGGCUUGAUAUAAAAUAGGUAUUCAUAAAAUAUUUAUUGAAUGUCAAUCAGCAUAAUUUUUAAAAAUCUCAUGUGGCUGAAUCUCUAUGCUAUAAUUCAGACACUGCCUUCUUUUGGGGAGUGAAGCGUCUAGAAUUUGUAAGGUUAAGCUGCAUUUUUUCUGUAGAAUCCAGAUCUGUUGAUCCUUGCUUAUAAUAAUUGUGUAGCUUUGUGGCUCAAAUUUUAAUAUUAAGCAAACAACUCUCAAUGGUAGUAGAACAUUUGCCUUCCCAUGAGUGUUCUCAGUGAUCUUAUAAUAUACUAGAGAAAAAUGUUUUCCUUUACUCUUUCAAUUUAGAAAGACACACUACUGAAUUACUUUAGAAAUGCUUCUCACAAAAGGUGAGAUAUUACAAGAGGGGACCCUGGUUCUGGUGCAGUGAAAGUCUGCUUUCGAAGUAAGGGCCUGAUUAGGGCAGUGCUGCUUUAUGGCUACAAGCUUCUUGGAUCCUUAAUUUUACCAGUGGAAGCCACACUUUAGGCAUGCCCCAAAGCCCUAGGAGUGAGUAGUAUUCCUGUGCAUAGAUGGUACUGUUAGUUAAAUAAGAAACAAUGGUUUUGAAUAGAAGAAUAAGCAUCUCUACAUACCUUCGAUGAGAAGCGUAAUUGCCAGUAAUAUGUCCAGAGCCAUCACAACCGGGGGUGGGGCACCUACAAUUAAAAAAUGUAAAUUGGGUAAUUUACUCGAAAGAAAGAAAAUCCCCCACACAGUUAACUUCUUUAUUUAUCCAACAAGUAAACCCUCUUUCUUGCUUAGCCUCUCUACUUGAAAGAACCUAAAUUGAGCUGAAAGUUCCCUAGCCCAACUGCAACAGUGUUCAUUAAUCAGAACUAUCAGAUACAAACCUUUGACUACCUUCUUCCUUCCAAAACCAAUGACACUUUCUAGAAUGAUCACAAAUUUCAGUGACUGCUGGGAGUUCAACAGUCUCUGGGGCCUGUAGCCUCCCUGGUCAUAGGGAUUUAUUUUAAAAUCUCUGUUCCCUCCAAGUAUCCCAUGUUUCCCUUCCCUUAUGAUUACUUUCAAUUCAUUCAAGCCCAGUUAUAUCAAUCAAGGUUGAUAGUUUUUGCAAGCUAUUAGAACAAUCCAAAUAUGAAGCAUGAUUUAGACAUUAAAAAAAUAUAGACAGUGGUCGAUGAGAAGGGACUUUGUCUGAACUCUCAACACCAGCAUAAUAAAGGAAUUCCAUUCUAUUGGCUCUUAAGAAUUUUGGUCAACCUGGUUAGCCAUUGGUUCCAGUGUGUGCAGUAAACCCAUAUCCUAACUGCAGGAAUGAAGAUCAACAAACUUAAAUUCUCUCAGCUGGCACUGUGCAUUCAGACAGGUUUGAGUUUCCUUAGAAUCUUUGUUACUUUGAACUGACUUGAGUAGAAGAUAGGAGACCUUUCUUGAUUAACCAUAUCAAGUCGUCAAAAUACCCAGAAAAAUUUAUGUGCAUCUGCACUGCAUCUGUUUAAACACCUGUCUGUGGAAUUCCAUCCAGUUUCUUAAUUACUGCAUUGCCAUUGCUUUAAUGGGAGAGAUUUUUUGGAAAGAGCUUUAUGCUUAUUGUACUCCAUAUUAACUUUUUAAAUAUGCCAUCUCUUGAAUAAUCAGAUAAAUACUACAAAGACAUUUUCACUUUAAAAUAUUUUAAUUGCAUUUACACCCACUAUGAAAUAAAAGUUAAGGCCAAAAGUUAACAAAAAAUUCCUCUUUCUUUCUAUUAAAUUUGUAACCCUCAAAAAAAUAAGACCAAGUGAUUUAUUAGACAAUAUGACCAACUAGUAGUAAAACACAAAUCAUGCUCCAGCCACUCAUUCUGAUUAAAGGGACACCUGAAUUCCUGUCAAGAACAAAAAUCACAGAUUUUAAAUAUUUAAUACCUAUAUACUAUCUCUGAGAGAUUUCAAUUUACUUUCCACUCAGAAUAUCACCUGUGAUAUUGAAUAUUGAGACCAGGCCAGUAAAAUUACUUGCUUACAGAUUGACUAUCUCAAGAUAAGAUGAGAGUAUCAGUGAGUGGAAUGGAAAAUAGAGUGAAACUGGAUUAAUUUCAAGUGUAUGAAAGUCAUAUUUUGACACUUGCAUGUGUAAAUAAUCUUGUAUUUAGAAAUUUUCUCAUUUUCUUUUAGUCCUAAAGAAAGGGAACGUAAUUCUAGAUCUCAGGGUAUUGAAAUUGAUAUCUGUCAUGCUGUAUUAAAGGUUUAAGUUUAACUUAUGACUUCUGCCAUAAAAGAAUAAAAAAUAACUGAAUGAAGAGAUAGUAGAGAAAUAGUCAGUGUGCUCUAAUCCAUGCCCUUUUAGCGUAAGUGGAAUCACGAUUUUUAAAAUGGGAGUCUGAGGCAGAACAACAAUUAGGCAUUUUAAACAAUAACUAUCAUUGACAUGAUUCUUGUUAAAGUAACAGUUGUCUAUAUACGUUGGUGAAAAAAGUUUGAUCAUAAGACUGUAUUCAGUCAAAUGCUAAGUAAUUAUUUCCUAAAUAAUAACUUAUAUGACUGAAUUUAACUAGCUGCUUUUCCAAUGACACCUCAAGUGGAUAAUCCUCAAUCCCAGAAUGCUCUUAUGGGAAGAAAAUUUGAAAGCAAUAAAAAGCAGUCUAUCUUAAGAGAAACUAAACUUCAGGCAAGUUUCUGUUUUGAGAAUUUAUCAAGAAACAGAAAUGUUUUCUACCAGCCAAUGAUAUAUACUUGGCAUUACUUUUUCCUCAAAAAAAGAUCCUUAAACUCUUCUGAAUUUAAGUACUUAGUGCAAAUUCAUUUAAAAUUUAUUUAAUAUGAGUAUAAAUUUUUUCUUUUCUUUUCUUUGUCUUUUGGCAGGGGGAGAUUUCAUAUUCUGCUCUAACGUAAAGUGAGGUGUUAUAGUGAAAAUAAUACAAGUGGAAAUCAGGUUUUAAUACCUAUUUUUUAAAAAAGAAAGUUUUUCAAAGAAAUUGUAAUGUGUUUAAAUAUCAUUUCUCCAUCAUUUGAUAGGCAAAGAGAUAUUUAAAAUGCCCUUCAACACCACCAAAAAUUUUUAAAUAACUAUUGAUUUGGUUCAUUUUCAGCGCUUUAACUGUUUAGGGAAAGGAAAAAACAUUACUGGAAAGAAGGCUUUCUUUCUUAAAGAUUUGUUUUUAAUUUCAGGGUUCCAAAGCAGGUAGAUGGAGUUUGAAUCUCAGAUCUGCCACUGGUUAGCUUUGUGAAUUUGAAGAAAUUGUUUAAUCUUGUGAUGCUUUAGCUUCCACAUCUGGAGCUAGAACUACUGUCUCAUCUAUUGUAUGAGGAUGAAAAUGUUGUAAGAUAUCUAAAGUGUUUGCUCUGGUUUUCUCAUAGUAAGGGCCACUUCUCCUUUCUCCCUUCAUUUUGCUAAUGCCAGGUAGUUUGAAGCUUAAACAAAAUAGCCCAGUGCUCCAAUUAGCAUCCUUAAUUCUCACCGGUAGGUGCGGAGUUCUGAAUACAGGCUUAAAGGAACUUCCUGCAUUUCAUUGUUAUCUUGCCUUUGAAAUAAUUGACUACUUUGGGUUUUAUGAGAGCAGUAAUUCAGCUUUCUCAUCUUUAGGUGGUGCUUCAGGACCACAUAGAUAGCUGAAAAUUAUUUUUCAACUAUGCUUUCUUCUAAUAUCUCUAGGUAUUCAUUUUUAUGUUACUGUUGAAGAUUUUAAAGCUUUUCCAAACUCCUAGAUUUACAUACAAAUGUCCUAGCUUUAAGAAAUCUCAACACACAAAAAUACAAUUUUCUUAAGUCGAUGAAUGAGGAAGUGAUUUUUUCCUCUAACAAAAGGAGUCUUUGCUUCUCGAAGGGAGUCAGCUCCAGGAUCCUUGAAAAUGUGAGUGGUGUAAAAUUGAUUUACAGAAAUUCGAUUUGCAUCUACCGGUCUAAGAGCACAUCUUUUCCAUAAAGCGAGGCCCAUGUGGGAUAAUCAAAAUCCCCUGUGGAUAAAAUCAGACAGUGGCAUGUGCUGCACAGCUUGGGUUUUGAAAUGGCAGAAGAGACUGACUGAGUUUCCAUGGAAACUGCCCCCUCAGCUCCCUUUAAAGAAGGCACAGGCUCUUAGCACUGAAGCAAUCAGGCUGCUACAGGGGAAGAAUGAUGUUUUAAAAGAGCACCACUAACUUAAUGGCCCUCCUUGCUUUUCUAGUACUUAUCAUGAACAAUAGUACCAGGUCUAUAUUAAGUUCCUAUGGUUAAGGAUGUAAAGUAGCAUUAAAUAAAACACUUGCUAUAUAUAUAAUUUAUUUUUUCUCUUCAACUGCAAAGGUACUAUUGGGAAAACACUUGGAGAAAGCAAAUGAUGAAUAGAGAAUCUCAAAAUCUAUACUUGCUGCCUCAAGGAUCUAUUUAAGAUAUAAAUAUUUCUGGUCUCUGAUUUCCUUGCCUUAAUGUCAACUUUGUGGGUUGCCUUGGAAUUAAAGUAAUAUGAAGAGAAGAAAAAUUUUGGUGGUGCAUCUUACUGUAUGGCUGGAAAAAUUGGCCCUGUAUAAAUGGUUAAAAAUGGCCAUGGAAAAAUCAUAAUAAAACAUCUUAGUGUUUAUGUUUUGGGUUACAUGCAGAAUUCAGGCAAAAUCUAAAAAAAAAAAAAUGUCGAGAUCACUCACAAACUUUUGGUAUUAAGAUUUCAGUGAGGUAGCCCUUCUCAAGUAAGAACAACCUAUGUUUCUGUUGCUUUUUGUAGAUCUAAGACAUCAAGGAACUCUCUCAACCUCAACAUCAUAGAAGUCCCUUUGUGUUCGUUGCUUUCUUUUUCUUAUUCACCAUCAAAAACCCCUGCUAUUUGCAAUGUGAAUAAUGUUCUUUCCAACUGUGUAGACAUUUCAUUUUGAAUGGCCCGAAAUGUUUCCCCAAACCUAUGUAUCAAUCUUUAUCGAUUACACCUACAUUGAGGUCAUAAGAUAUUUACCCGAAAGUCUAAAAAAUAAUUUAGUAUCUAUGAAUUAAGCAUUUUCACACAUCACAAAGAUGUGAUGGCAGAUCAACUCAAUUCUCGACUUUGCCUCUGCUUUGUCCUUCAGCAGGACAUACAGACUAUUAAUGUUUUGUUUUCUUCUCCCCAUUAACAAAACCACAACAUUGAAACUGGGUAAUGGAAAUGGAAAUUAUUCACUUGACUGACUGAAUCUGUAUUAUUGCUUACGUAUCAGAACGUCUCAAUGUGCUUCCUCCGUGGUCUAUCAUCCCACCGCCUCUCUUUCAACAGGAGACAUUAUGAGGACUAAAUAAAUACUUUAU